CUACGGGAGUCUGCAGUGGGGAAUAUUGGACAAUGGGCGAAAGCCUGAUCCAGCCAUGCCGCGUGUGUGAAGAAGGCCUUCGGGUUGUAAAGCACUUUCAGUGGGGAAGAAAGCCUUGGGGCUAAUACCCUCGAGGAAGGACAUCACCCACAGAAGAAGCACCGGCUAACUCCGUGCCAGCAGCCGCGGUAAUACGGAGGGUGCGAGCGUUAAUCGGAAUUACUGGGCGUAAAGCGCGCGUAGGCGGUCUGAUAAGCCGGUUGUGAAAGCCCCGGGCUCAACCUGGGAACGGCAUCCGGAACUGUCAGGCUAGAGUGCAGGAGAGGAAGGUAGAAUUCCCGGUGUAGCGGUGAAAUGCGUAGAGAUCGGGAGGAAUACCAGUGGCGAAGGCGGCCUUCUGGACUGACACUGACGCUGAGGUGCGAAAGCGUGGGUAGCAAACAGGAUUAGAUACCCCAGUAGUC
Molecule: ribosomal RNA, 464 nt
Filed under: Vreelandella stevensii
Lineage: Bacteria; Pseudomonadati; Pseudomonadota; Gammaproteobacteria; Oceanospirillales; Halomonadaceae
Description: partial 16S ribosomal RNA
Rfam family: Bacterial small subunit ribosomal RNA
Source: RNAcentral